This 934-nucleotide ribosomal RNA is filed under the name Salmonella enterica subsp. enterica serovar Dublin. RNAcentral describes it as "partial 23S ribosomal RNA". It matches the Rfam family "Bacterial large subunit ribosomal RNA", at positions 353 to 1190 of the family's 2925-position model. Lineage: Bacteria; Pseudomonadati; Pseudomonadota; Gammaproteobacteria; Enterobacterales; Enterobacteriaceae. The record is from RNAcentral.
CGCGAUACAGGGUGACAGCCCCGUACACAAAAGCGUAUGUGCUGUGAGCUCGAUGAGUAGGGCGGGACACGUGGUAUCCUGUCUGAAUAUGGGGGGACCAUCCUCCAAGGCUAAAUACUCCUGACUGACCGAUAGUGAACCAGUACCGUGAGGGAAAGGCGAAAAGAACCCCGGCGAGGGGAGUGAAAAAGAACCUGAAACCGUGUACGUACAAGCAGUGGGAGCCCCACCACUAAGCCAGUGGUGAACUCCACAUACGCAUCCUUUGCUGAGGAUACGGUUAACGGAGCGAAAGCGACGUUCAACCGCAAAAGAAGCAGAGGGGGCUUAGUGGUGGGGUGACUGCGUACCUUUUGUAUAAUGGGUCAGCGACUUAUAUUCUGUAGCAAGGUUAACCGAAUAGGGGAGCCGGAGGGAAACCGAGUCUUAACCGGGCGUUAAGUUGCAGGGUAUAGACCCGAAACCCGGUGAUCUAGCCAUGGGCAGGUUGAAGGUUGGGUAACACUAACUGGAGGACCGAACCGACUAAUGUUGAAAAAUUAGCGGAUGACCUGUGGCUGGGGGUGAAAGGCCAAUCAAACCGGGAGAUAGCUGGUUCUCCCCGAAAGCUAUUUAGGUAGCGCCUCGUGAAUUCAUCUCCGGGGGUAGAGCACUGUUUCGGCUAGGGGGCCAUCCCGGCUUACCAACCCGAUGCAAACUGCGAAUACCGGAGAAUGUUAUCACGGGAGACACACGGCGGGUGCUAACGUCCGUCGUGAAGAGGGAAACAACCCAGACCGCCAGCUAAGGUCCCAAAGUCAUGGUUAAGUGGGAAACGAUGUGGGAAGGCCCAGACAGCCAGGAUGUUGGCUUAGAAGCAGCCAUCAUUUAAAGAAAGCGUAAUAGCUCACUGGUCGAGUCGGCCUGCGCGGAAGAUGUAACGGGGCUAAACCAU